Callithrix jacchus (white-tufted-ear marmoset) is the source of this 1582-nucleotide long non-coding RNA. Lineage: Eukaryota; Metazoa; Chordata; Mammalia; Primates; Cebidae. The record is from Ensembl.
GAAGACUCUUAGCUGUACACUUUGAAUGAUUCCCUGCUCACCUGCUGCACUCUGUCAACAAGCAAGGAAAAUUUUAGGGCAGAAGCCUGGGAUGCAGCCAGGUUCAGAAACCUCUCGCUGGGCCUUGUGGUGAAUCCAUGCUCACACAUGGGCUGCCUGCCAAACAUUAACUAAAAUACUCACGCUUGUUUUCGACAACGGUCCUCAGGUUAAAUUUCACCAAGUGCUAUUUUGGGUGAGACGCUAUGGUAGAAAUGUCUCCAGAUUCCGGGUGGCUGUAAUGCCUCUGCAAAGCCACCUUUCAGCAUGUCCCAUUUGCUGUGCUUUCAAGUACUCAACUGUGUUGGUGCCUUUACAAGAUUCAGCCCCAAAGGAAUUUGGAGGACCUCUCAGUCAUUUAGAAUAUUGUUCCAAAUUAGAAACUGUUAAAUACUUUUUUUGAAUUUUAUAAAGAAGUUUGGAGAAAAACAACCCACACUUACAUGAAAGAGCAAAAACCCGGUGGAGCUCAACAGAUAAUUUUUUUUAAAGCAAAAGGGGAGUCAACUGAAGCGAUGUCUAUAACUAGCCUGAAAUAGAUAAUUCCUUCAGCACUGCAUAUAAUUUAUGAAAGUUUUAAAUAAGUCCAAGUUGGUACAUUUAAACGUGGAUACUAGAAACACAGGAUUCAGAUGAUACUGGCAUAAAAGACAGCAAGAAUUAUCUUCUACAAGCAUUGACAAGAAAGAGAAAGAAAUGUUCGCAAAUAUCACUGAGGAUUUUUUUUAAUGGAGAAGAAAAUGGCAUUAAUAAAGCAGAGACACUGAUGAAGAAGAGACAGUGGAUGAUACUUUAAUCUAAUUUGAUAUUAGUGAUGAUCAAUGCCGUUUCCAGAGGGCAGGAGUUAAUUUGAUUAAGAGAGGAAGAGAACCUUUCCAGAAUACAUAUGGACUCUUCUCUGCAGUUCAAAGACAAGGAAAAAAGAGCAAAGGAAGCACCCCACACAUGAAGGCUUCAUGAUUUUAGAAAUCCUUACCAAACAGUGAGAACACGGCAGUAUUUUCAAGGUUGAAAUAAUUAUUUUGUUUUGGCUAUAGACUAUAGAUACUGGAACAGAAAAUGAACAUUCAACUUUAUAAAUGGCUCUAAACCUAAAAGUUAAAUCCUAAGGUCUGUGAGACAUCUCAACAAUAUCUCCCCUGCUUUUCUAACCAUUGUUAUUUUAUUUCAUGACCGUUACUGAAAAUAAUUUUGCCAUAUAAAGGAGAGAGUGUUAAAAAGGAUUUUCUCCAGGUGUCAAAUAUGCGAGGUAUACCAUUAUUAGAUAAAAUAAUAACAUCAAUAACUUUUCUGACGUGAUCAUUUUUAUGAUAGAGAAAUAUCUGACUUAUGUAAAUAACUAUCUAAUAACUAAGUGAAUUUUAAUACAACAAAAAUGUCUUCAAAGGGAUAAAUUUAUACUAUGACUAAACUGUAUGACUGAAGUAAUUUUAUUCCUCUCCAUUUGUUCUUUAACCUAAAAAUAAAUAUCUAACAGUGUAAAAAGGAAUACAUUUCAAUUUUUAAAUAUUUUACUUAUCUUUAGUUUCUGAUUUCCACAUCC